GUUGCCUCGGAUCAGGUAGGGAUACCCGCUGAACUUAAGCAUAUCAAUAAGCGGAGGA
RNAcentral lists this ribosomal RNA (58 nucleotides) under Fulvia fulva. RNAcentral's name for it is "Passalora fulva partial 28S ribosomal RNA". It matches the Rfam family "Eukaryotic large subunit ribosomal RNA", at positions 1 to 57 of the family's 3401-position model. The record is from RNAcentral. Lineage: Eukaryota; Fungi; Ascomycota; Dothideomycetes; Mycosphaerellales; Mycosphaerellaceae.